CAGCCGCCGCGGUAAUUCGGAGGGUGCGAGCGUUGUUCGGAAUUACUGGGCGUAAAGCGCGUGUAGGCGGCCUUGCAAGUCAGGCGUGAAAGCCCUCGGCUUAACCGGGGAAGUGCGUCUGAAACUGCUUGGCUUGAGUACGGGAGAGGGAGGCGGAAUUCCCAGUGUAGAGGUGAAAUUCGUAGAUAUUGGGAGGAACACCGGUGGCGAAAGCGGCCUCCUGGACCGAUACUGACGCUGAGACGCGAAAGCGUGGGGAGCAAACAGGAUUAGAUACCCUGGUAGUCCACGCGGUAAACGAUGGGCACUAGGUGUGGGGGGUAUCCACUCCUCCCGUGCCGAAGCUAACGCAUUAAGUGCCCCGCCUGGGGAGUACGGCCGCAAGGUUAAAACUCAAAGGAAUUGACGG
RNAcentral lists this ribosomal RNA (409 nucleotides) under uncultured bacterium. RNAcentral describes it as "bacterial SSU rRNA". It matches the Rfam family "Bacterial small subunit ribosomal RNA", at positions 509 to 916 of the family's 1533-position model. The record is from RNAcentral.